AGUGAACGCUGGCGGUAGGCCUAACACAUGCAAGUCGAACGGCAGCACAGGAGAGCUUGCUCUCUGGGUGGCGAGUGGCGGACGGGUGAGGAAUACAUCGGAAUCUGCCCAGUCGUGGGGGAUAACGUAGGGAAACUUACGCUAAUACCGCAUACGACCUUCGGGUGAAAGAGGGGGAUCGCAAGGCCUCUUGCGAUUGGAUGAGCCGAUGUCGGAUUAGCUAGUUGGCGGGGUAAUGGCCUACCGAGGCGACGAUCCGUAGCUGGUCUGAGAGGAUGAUCAGCCACACUGGAACUGAGACACGGCCCAGACUCCUACGGGAGGCAGCAGUGGGGAAUAUUGGACAAUGGGCGCAAGCCUGAUCCAGCCAUACCGCGUGGGUGAAGAAGGCCUUCGGGUUGUAAAGCCCUUUUGUUGGGAAAGAAAUCAUGCAGGCUAAUACCCUGGGAGGAUGACGGUACCCAAAGAAUAAGCACCGGCUAACUUCGUG
RNAcentral lists this ribosomal RNA (490 nucleotides) under uncultured bacterium. RNAcentral's name for it is "partial 16S ribosomal RNA". It matches the Rfam family "Bacterial small subunit ribosomal RNA", at positions 29 to 507 of the family's 1533-position model. The record is from RNAcentral.